This is a long non-coding RNA of Peromyscus californicus insignis, 2636 nucleotides long. RefSeq lists it as uncharacterized. The transcript has 3 exons. NCBI's taxonomy places the organism in Eukaryota, Metazoa, Chordata, Mammalia, Rodentia, Cricetidae. The record is from RefSeq and is a predicted model, not a curated record.
CAAGGACAGCGGCAGUGGACGAGUGAAGCCAAGACAAGCUAGAAGACCAGCUGUGUGUGCUGCAGAGGGCAGAGCCAGGGAAGUGACCUUUUGGAGGAGCCCAGAAGACGGGUUCCUCGGAUAAGUGACUGAUCUCUAAACCUGAGCAAAUAAUGCACACGAUGAGCCUGGAGCAUCUGUGCCAGAGGGGUAUGAAGUCCUGUAACAGCGAGUGAACCCAACAGUGAUGGGCAACAGCAAGGCACGGAAGUGGUUAAGGAGACACCAGAGGCCAGCACUGGGGCCAGAUCCCCUGGAACUGGAGCUACAGACAGUUGGGAGCCACCAUGUGGGUCCUGGGAAUUGAACUGGGUCCUCGGAAAGGUAAGAGCUCUUAACUGCCAAGCCACCUCCCCAGCCCCUCUUUUUGGAUUUUAAAGUGGUAACUAACUCCAGCCCCACAAAUCUUCAAACCCAGCAGCCCAUGCUGGUUCACAUAGCAGAAGAUCUCACACUGGAGUGGCCAGGUUUUGUCCACCCUCCUUACACAGCCCACAGUCCAGGUGAAGCGAAGCUGAGGCCGGAAGUUGUGUGCAUCUCCUGAUGUCUGUCUUUGGAAUGUGUUUGGGUUUGAAAACAAACUCUGUGUUGCUUACUCCUUUGGCAGACCCAGGAUAGGUGCUGGAUUGAUGGCUUGGAAGGAGGACUGUAGCCUGUAACAAAACCUAAUGGGGGUGACCAGGCUGGGUCCCCACCACUGGCACGCUAACGGAAAUUUCCAGAGACGUUUCUACCUCCCUCACAUCUUUAAUUUUUCAAAUGGACCUCUCUCCAGUUGCCAGGUUAACUCUGCUGCCAAGGCCAGGCGAAUGCUGGCAGCAGCUCCCCAGGGAAGCAUUUUAAUCUCCAGCAUCAAACCAGACCCCUCUUCCAUCCGCCAUCUGCCUGUCUCCAGCCACCUCCAUCCAGGGAAACCAGGAUGGGGCUGAGGGCCUAAUCGGAUCACAGCUCCGAGUUGUGCACUAAUCAGAUUGCUCUGCAGCCUGGCCCUUCAGACUCCAGUCUGAGCCUGCUCAGAGUGCACACCCUCCUCCCAUUUCAAUUGGAAAGGAGUGGAGGUGAGUCUGGCGUCUCAGAAUUGCUUAGAGGUCUGCCUUACUGCAGUUUGCUUGGGGCAAGAUCCCGCCCCUGUCUGUGACCUUGAGAAAGCAACGCAUUCUCUCUGGGUCCAGCCUCCCCGUACCCUGUAGUCAGUAAAGAAAUCCCUUCUCAGCUGUCCUUCUGGAGCCCUCUCGGUAUUUUUAUAAGGUUGUAAACAGUCAGCCAUCACGUUCCUCCCCGCGUAGUAAAGUGGCAUCUUUCAUGGCCUUGCUGCUUUGCUUCCGGGUAGAGAGAACAGGUCAAACUUCCCCAGAGCAAACUGUACAGCUGGGUCAAAGGUCAAAGUCAGCCAUUUGGCACAUGCAGAACAGACUGCCGGGGGGAUUGUAAGGGGGGCAAGGAGGGGCCUUGGCAAGAAUUAUGGAUGAGGGUUUGGCAGGGCUCUAAGGGAAGGGCAGAAGCUGAGGGGAGGGAGCCGGGGUAGCAUCCUACCCUGUUGCCCCAGGGACUGGGAACCUAUAGUGACUGCUUUCUUGUUUGGGGACUGUAUGCAGUCUGGGUUUGAUAGGCCAGCUAUGGCUAUCCUUUCCCUGUGGCUUUGUAUCUACACCCCCUUCUGCCUUGUGUGGCUGUCCAUCUUCCCCCAGGCAGACUCACCCUCCACAACUGGAGCGUCUGCCCUGGUGAUGUGAAACCGCACGUCCCAGGCUCUGCCCAGGUCCUGUUCUGGAGCAGGCAAGCCACUUCGUACCAUCAAGGCUGUUUCGUGGUCUGUGUUUGGAAGUCGAAGAUGGACGCUCCCCCUCUUUCUUGAAUGGCCCUUGGUAUGGAUAGGAAGUCUGAAAAUGCUAACGCUACUUUUAUACUAUAACAGAGGCUCCCCUGAGGAUGAGUUUUAUGGAAUACUGCCUACUGAGAAAUCAAACUGAAACCCAAAUGACUUGGAACCUGUCUGCUCUCUUACGGAUUGUCUAGACAAGAGUCAAUGUUCAGACCACACCACAGUUUGGACCUGUAGCUCUAGCAUUCUUAAGACUUAGGGUCCAGGUUCACCUAUUGCUUACCUUCAAAGAAAUAAUUAAAUGGUUUGGUUUAAAAAAAAAAAAAAAAAGGACGGAAGAAAAUAAAAGAAAUGCCCAUCUAAGGCAGUUUGCCCUGGACAGCCUUGAGAUGGGAGAAUACCUCUGGACAGUCCUGAUGGCUCUUCUCACACAGCAAAGCCCACGGAGCCCUUAGCCACUGGAGUUAUCUUUCUUAAUAUCCCCAUGGCAUCAUAAUGGUGUAAAGACGCAGGGCCUGGCCACCCCGGAGCACUGCUUUGUACUCAGCACUGUGACCCCUGUGCGGUGGUAACCAUGUCCUCUUCCCAGAAGCACUGUGAAUUGCAGCUGUACCUAUCUCCUCCAUCUUGCAGAGAUGGAGGCCUGUCUGAGGAAGACGCUGAACUGUCACCGAUGUCCCCAGUGGGAAGGGCAAGAUGGUAGCUCUGAAACUCCAAGCUCGGCCCCUUUCCUGGGCCCACCCCCUCCCCCUUCCCUCUCCCCCCUCCCCCUCCC